RNAcentral lists this transfer RNA (115 nucleotides) under Lentinula edodes (shiitake mushroom). RNAcentral describes it as "tRNA-Asn". It matches the Rfam family "tRNA". From Rfam's summary of the family: Transfer RNA (tRNA) molecules are approximately 80 nucleotides in length. Their secondary structure includes four short double-helical elements and three loops (D, anti-codon, and T loops). Further hydrogen bonds mediate the characteristic L-shaped molecular structure. tRNAs have two regions of fundamental functional importance: the anti-codon, which is responsible for specific mRNA codon recognition, and the 3' end, to which the tRNAs corresponding amino acid is attached (by aminoacyl-tRNA synthetases). tRNAs cope with the degeneracy of the genetic code in two manners: having more than one tRNA (with a specific anti-codon) for a particular amino acid; and 'wobble' base-pairing, i.e. permitting non-standard base-pairing at the 3rd anti-codon position. Lineage: Eukaryota; Fungi; Basidiomycota; Agaricomycetes; Agaricales; Omphalotaceae. The record is from RNAcentral.
UGCCCCAUGGCUGAGUUGGUUACAGCGUCCGACUGUUAUGUAUCUCAAAUAUGCCGGUUUGUAUAUAGAACAUACAUCAAUCGGAAGGUCGAGAGUUCGAGCCUCUCUGGGGCAG